GUGCUCACUUCGGCAGCACAUAUACUAAAAUUGGAAUGAUACAGAGAAGAUUAGUAUGGCCCCUGCACAAGGAUGACAUGCAAAUUCGUGAAGCAUUCCAUAUUAAA
Molecule: small nuclear RNA, 107 nt
Filed under: Peromyscus maniculatus bairdii (prairie deer mouse)
Lineage: Eukaryota; Metazoa; Chordata; Mammalia; Rodentia; Cricetidae
Also listed under: 1 other name
Source: RNAcentral